UUAAAGCUGCAACAAACAGCCGGCUGAUGCAAACAGAAGAACCUAGCUAUUCAGCUCACAAACAAAAGAGAGAGAAUCUCACAGCCCCUUCUUGCACAUUUUUGGAGGAAUCUAUCAGCUUUCUAUAGGGGUGCACACUGGGCUCUCAAGAUCCUGAAUGUUGUGUCUGGGAUUGGCAUGCAACAGGCACAGACAGCAACGCUUACGUGGCUGGGUUCUGGUUGAUGGUCUUAAUAAACAUGGACACACUGAGUGGACUGCAGGUCAACAGUGUUUGGAUUCAACAGUUACACAGAUGGAUUGAAGUACAAGUUGGUGUUCAGCAAGAAUUUUCAGGACGAAAUACAACUAAAGUGGCACCAAAAUCCUCAGUCUGACAUUACUAUUGCUGUACAUCAUCAUCAAAAGCAGCUCUUCAACAGAGGGUGCUAGGGUGCUGCCCUACCACACAUUUGUCACCACAUUCCUUGAAAACAAUAAAUAAAUAAAAACAUCCAAAGUCAAAUCAAAUAUAUUUCAAAAUAUAUGUACAGUAAUCCCCCGCUAUAUCAAGAUUCAUGCAUCGUCGUCCUGCUAUAUCGCAGAUUAUUUUUUUGGAAGUGUUUUUUUGUGUGUGUGUUAUCCUUUGCUCUUGCUCUCUCUCAAUAUAUUAUAUGUGUUUCAAUGUGUUUUUAAAAAAUGAAGUGACAUAAAUGCUAUAAAAAUUGUCUGUGUUUUAGUUUAGAUUCUAUUUAAUAUUGUUUCAUGUUUUCCUGUGUCCCAUGUUAUUCAUGUUUUGUGUGCUCAUUUAGUUAUUGUGUCCAUCUGUUGCCUCUACCUUGUGUCAACCAAUCAGCACCCUCGAGCCACUCGUGCUUUUUCUCGCUGCUUCCCUGCACUUGGGCCCUCCACCUUCUUGUCUGUGAAAUCCCGAACAUGACACAAUGCAGCAACCAAUAAAGGACCCAGUGGGAAGCACAAGGCGUCCGGGAUGCCACAGGUCUGCCUCCCAGCGCCAUCAGCCUGCUGACCAAACAUACCCUCCUCCAGUAAGCCCUAUUGUUUUGUUUUUCUCUGUCCUUUUCACCAGUGUCCCCCACUUGUCCUAGUCAUUCACCAAGCCUCAUUUUUAUUUUAUUUUUAUUCAGAUUCAUCCGAUUAUGAAGCUGCCGCAGAUUCGGUUAACCUUAUUUCUGACAUGGAUUCGGACUCCGAUUUUGAUUUUUACGGUUCUUUCAUCUAGUCAUUUUUCUCGUCCUAGUCAAUUUUUGUCACGUUUUCCCUUUUCUGAUCCGUAUGAGUUCACAUCCAAGUCCUUUCCUUCCAACCUAUGCUUGGCCAUCUAUCCGGGACCUCCGCGUGGUGGUCAACAGAGGCACCCAAGUAAAGGUGAAGGUUUGCUGUUACGUCAUCCCAAUUCUAAGCCACGUCAUUUGUCACCUGUUUCCACACCAAGACACGUCCGUCCAAACCUGCCCCCAAGUCACCUCGUUCCAUACCUACUUCAUCACCUUGUCUCGUACUACUCAUGUUUCCUAGUUCACCUUCCUGAGUUUCUGUGCACGCUGCCCCUCUUGUAUCCUGUCCUCCCAAACCUCUAUGGCAGGCUGAAAAAGCAACUGCAGACCCCAUACCUGCUUCUCACCAGCUGCAGCAGGCCCCCGUUCCUGCUCCUCGGCAGCUGCAGCAGGCCCCUUGUUCCUGCUCCUCGGCAGCUACAGGCUCCAGCAGCGUACACUGACCUUGCGCCAACGGCGCCCGUCCAGCAGCCGCCACCCGACCAUGCUGCGGUGGCUCUUGUCUAGCAGCCGUCACCCAACUCUCUUGCCUGGCCCCUGCAUUGCUCUUGCAUCUGGUAUCAUGGCCGUCACCUGAACAGCCCAUUAGAAACCCUUGUGCUUCGUGUCCUGAUCUCCUGAAUGGCCCAGCCAACCACCGCACGUCUGGUGGCCUGGACGGCCACCAUUGUGCCCACCUGUUCUCAUCAACACUCUACCUUGUGUCAAACAAUCAGCUCUCUCCAGCCAAUCGUGCCUUGUCCAGGUGUUCCUCGUUGUCUUGUCAAUUUGUUUGUAUUUCGUUCCCUGCUUUCUUUCAGUCUGUGUUGCCACUUCGUUGUCGGUUGUAUGUCGUCUGUUGCUGUAAGCCAUGUUUCCGAAGUCAUGUUAUGUUUUGAUGAGUUUAUCCCUUGUUUAUUUGUUACCUGGAACCUAGCUUUUUGAACUUUGUUAAUUUAGCUUUUUCUGCCCACAUGAUCCUUGUUUGCCUUUGUUUUUGGAAUUCAAAAUUAUUUUGAGAUUCUUGCACUCCUGCCUUGCCUCCCAGCUUCCCUGCACUUGGGCCCUCCACCUUCUUGUCUCCAACACUGUGAAAACCCGAAGGUGGCAAAAAAAACAUGCCGAGAAUACUCAAAUAGGGUAUUUCAACUGUAUAUUACAGAUUUGACUUAUUGCGGGGGUAGUUUGGAACGUAACCCCAGCGAUGGAGGUGGGAUUCUAUUUUUCUAUGAGCGGGGUAAAUAAUAUAUAGGUCAUGAGUAAAAUUGUUUCAUUCAUCUCUCUUGUCAGUUUUAGUGACGCAACAACUGCUCUGGGACACAGAUAUCUUUCCCCAUUGACCCUUGUUAAAAGUUUGACAUGCGCAGUUGGGUCCUCUGCAAUGCAAAAGAUUGGACAGAGGUAGGGCACUAUAUUCUAUAUCUUUUUUUGUGGGACACAAAAUAACGUUUGUGGGAUUUGUCCUCAUCCUUUUGUCUGUGGUGUCCGUUUAUACAGAAUAUUGCAGUCUCAUAAUGAGCCAAGGAGGCUGUGACUUAAAUAUCUAACAGAAAAUACAGAAAUAAGGCCCGAGGCAUCCUCCAAAUUAUUGUAUGAUGAAAAAAGACUGUAGGAUAUUGUUGCUAAUAGCUACAGUAGCACCCAAAGAAAGUAUCCACACAGGCAUAUUCAUAUGUUAGAGGGCUAUGGCCAGUCAGCCACAUAAUAGAAAAAUCAUUGUCACUCAUCCUCUGCUAUUCAUACAGCUGUUACUCCAUUUAAAAAUUAAAAAGAAUAUAAAGCGCCUUUAUCCAGUUUUGUCCUUUUCUCUCCUUGUCAUCUUCAUCUCUUUUCUUCUGUUCUGCUCUUUGUUUCCGCUCUUCCUCUCUCAGAUGUGUCCUUGGUCAUCCCCCAUUAUUCCUUCAUCAUGAAGCAUUGUAUGUGUUUGGCAACCAACUCUUUCAAUGUGUCUUCCUCACUGCCAAGCACACUUUGUCCUGUGAUUUUCAAAGAUGAAAAGAGUGCUUUUCACGUGCCAGAAUAUAUCCCACAACGAACGAUGAAACUGAUCAACUUUUGGCUCUUUGUAAAAUAUUUUCUAUAGAUAUGAAAAUGUCUUUGGUUUAUGCAAGCAAGUAAAACUUUUCAAGCAUGUUAAUAAUGGUCCAUUUAAACUCAGGAGUUUGAGAGAGAAACUACACGACUUUAUGUGGAGACAAGUAUUGUGACAUGCCUAUCAAUCAAUUUUUUUUUCACUUUACCUGAACAAUCAUUUAAUUCUUUAGCAUACCAUUACAUUUUGGACUUUGCAUGCUUCCUACUCUAUUGGAAUACGAUAGUUUGCAGAAGGCAUAGUUGGUUGAGUUUGGUCUAGAGCAUGACGGGUCUACGCAAACCUCUGACCUUCAUCCAAUCUAACGCCUAUGGGACAUGUGACACCCCAAAUUCUUGUAUCGUAUAAAGUCUUGCUAUAAAAGGGCACCAAAUCUAUAUUUCCUGCAGUCUUAAUGGUCAGAUGUCUCAAUCAUUUUGUCCAUACAGCACAACAGCAGUGUUUUGUAAGCUUCAAUCCUUUUUUACCAGUAGUGGGAUGGUAAUUUAAAUAAUUUACAGUAUAUUUCUGUAUGCAAUGGAGAGUUAUAGAGAAGAAAGCUGUGAGGGUCUUAACAAGUGCAACAAUCAAAAAUCACCUCCUAAUCCAGUGAAAAUAAAACUGUUUUUUGUAUUCAUAUCUGUCUUCAUCUUAUUUUUCUUCAUGCUAUCUCACUCUUCAUUCAUAAGACUUCCUGUGAAAUGCAAAGAAGCCCGACAUCCAACCCAUCCCCCCUUUUGUUGUAUGCAUUCCUUUAUUUUUUUCAUAAGCACACCUUGUCACACUAGUGGCAUAUUUUCAAUCAUUAUUAGAAUUCCGGCAGCUCAAGGCUCACAGGCUUUAACCUCUGGUAUCUUUGGUGUGUGAUAAAAGCCGAAUGAACCAUCAAUCUUUAUUGUCUGGCCUGCAGACUGUAAUUGCAUUCAAUAGUCCACUGAUUCUCUUGUCUGCUAAUGUCGGAGAGCAGAGAGGAGCCAGAUGCUCUGACUGCAUCAUGCGCUCACACAUGCACACAGUUCAAGCCUUUAUAUUCAGGUGGGGGGGGACAGCUCACACUGAAUACAUUUAUUCGGAAUAGGCACAGCAACACAUAUGACACACAUAGGCGGUAGGCAGUCCCCCCCACCCACUUCUGGUUGAUAAACUGUUGACAGUAUAGAUUAUGAGCAGCUGUGCUUUGGGUGUGAAUGCAGAAGAUUCAUCCAUUAGUUCACCAGUCAGAUUGUGCUUAUACAAUAUGUACUGUGGCUGAAUUUACUGUAUGUUUGUGUCACUGAUGACUGCUAGCCCUGUACCACGAAAUGUGGGGCAGAAGUCCUGCGGGAUCAUUAAUGACUCAGUCAGAUAGUAAAAUCCGACAGCCAUAAAAGUAAAAACAAAAAAUAAAUACAAGCUAACUAUGUUUUGGAUUUUGAUUCUUUAAAGACAUGAUUAAACCAUGGUCAACUUAUAUCAGAAUGACGGCAAGAGUGGAGUGCGGAGAAGAAACAGGUCAUGAUCCAAAGGAUACAUUUUCAUGUGUCAAACAUGGUGUUGGCAGUGUUGAAACAUGGGAAAGUUCGCCUGCUAAAGGAAUGGGCUCCCUGGUGUUUAUUGUUGAUGUGACUCCUAACAGAGGUCAGAAGAAUGUGUCAGGGCUAUACUCUCUGCUCACAUUCAGCCAAAUGCUAUAAAACUGAUCAGAUGGAUGGCCAUACUAUAAGAGAAACUAAACUCAUUUUGAAGGUUGGAAUAUUCUUCAGUCACCUGAUCUCAACCAAUUGCGGACUGCUUUUCACACUGCUCUCUUCUGUGAGUGUGGGUAAGGUUAUCUUUGUGCUUUUCACGCUAUUCUUUAAUUUUCCUCACAAACAGGAAGUUUGAGCUGAGAGACAAUGACAAAGAUGACCCUUUACUGAACAUGAAUGUACUAUUUAAUUUAUAACAGUCAAGUUGAUCCGUAGUCUACAGCAUAGGUGUCAAACUCAAGGCCCGGGGGCCAGAUGCGGCCCGCCACAUCAUUUUAUCUGGCCCGCGAAAGCAAAUCAUGCUCGUCAACUUCCGUGAUUUUUACUAAAAUCUGUACCCAAAUUCCAAAUUGUCAUAAUAAUAAACAAUAAGGUUGAGAUAUUGCAUUUUUCUGUUACCAAACCCUUCUUAAACAAUAACUUAAACAAUAC
Long non-coding RNA from Phyllopteryx taeniolatus (common seadragon), 5486 nucleotides. RefSeq lists it as uncharacterized. The record is from RefSeq and is a predicted model, not a curated record. NCBI's taxonomy places the organism in Eukaryota, Metazoa, Chordata, Actinopteri, Syngnathiformes, Syngnathidae. The transcript has 4 exons.